This 251-nucleotide ribosomal RNA is filed under the name uncultured archaeon. RNAcentral's name for it is "partial 16S ribosomal RNA". It matches the Rfam family "Archaeal small subunit ribosomal RNA", at positions 731 to 982 of the family's 1478-position model. The record is from RNAcentral.
AGAUACCCCUGUAGUCCUAGCGUAAAUGAUGCGAGUUAAGUNUGGGGGCAUCUACGAGAUGGCCCUGUGCUGUAGGGUAGCCGUUAAACUCGCUGCCUGGGGAGUACGGUCGCAAGGCUGAAACUUAAAGGAAUUGGCGGGGAGCACCACAAGAGGUGGAGGCUGCGGUUCAAUUGGACUCAACGCCGGAAAAACUCAUCGGGAGCGACAGCAGUAUGAUUGCCAGGUUGAUGACCUUGCUUGACAAGCUG